Tyto alba (common barn owl) is the source of this 165-nucleotide non-coding RNA. NCBI's taxonomy places the organism in Eukaryota, Metazoa, Chordata, Aves, Strigiformes, Tytonidae. The record is from Rfam.
GCACUUCAAUGUUGUGGCUCCGAUAUCUCUACCUCCUCCCCCAGUGGCCAGGGCGAGGCUCAUCCCCUGCACUCCGGGUGUGCUGACCCCUGCGAUUUCCCCAAAUGCAGGAAACUCGACUGCAUAAUUUGUGGUAGUGGGGGACUGCGUUCGCCCCCUCCCCUG